UAAUGAUGGGUAGGGGAGCUUCCCAUACGGGUUGAAGCAUGACCGUAAGGACAUGUGGACAGUAUGGGAGUGAGAAUGUUGGCAUGAGUAGCGAGAUGUGGGUGAGAAUCCCACAGGCCGUAAACCCCAGGUUUCCAGGGGAAGGUUCGUCCGCCCUGGGUUAGUCGGGACCUAAGCUGAGGCCGAAAGGCGUAGGUGAUGGACAACAGGUUGAUAUUCCUGUACUACCGAUAACCGUUUGAGAGAAGGGAUGACACAGUAGGAUAAGCUAAGCACACUGUUGGGUAUGUGUGCCCAAGCAUUGAGGCAGUCAAAGUAGGCAAAUCCGCUUUGAUAAUGCUGGGGUGUGAUGGGGAGCGAAAUUUAGUAGCGAAGUAGCUGAUUUCACACUGUCAAGAAAAGUCUCUAUCGA
This 412-nucleotide ribosomal RNA is filed under the name Clostridioides difficile. RNAcentral's name for it is "bacterial LSU rRNA". It matches the Rfam family "Bacterial large subunit ribosomal RNA", at positions 1219 to 1628 of the family's 2925-position model. The record is from RNAcentral. Lineage: Bacteria; Bacillati; Bacillota; Clostridia; Peptostreptococcales; Peptostreptococcaceae.